RNAcentral lists this ribosomal RNA (582 nucleotides) under Triticum aestivum (bread wheat). RNAcentral describes it as "partial small subunit ribosomal RNA". The record is from RNAcentral. Lineage: Eukaryota; Viridiplantae; Streptophyta; Magnoliopsida; Poales; Poaceae.
AUGACUAUAGUGGACAGAGGUGGGGGCGGAAAUGAACUGACUCAGAAUGUGGACAGGAUAGGAGAUGUCAGGACGCGUAACAGCAAGAUAGACAAGACUGCCAACAAGGUGACGAUAGCGAGUGGGAUUAGGAAGAGGGUCACCAUCAGAGGCAUGAAGCUGAAUGUUGAGCUCCAUGGGAGUGACAACAGUGCGCUCAUCACCGAGAGCAGCGCGAGCAAGAAGAUCCUGAAUUUAUUUUUCUUGGGAGAUGUAGAAGCCAUCAGAGGUCGAGGAGAUCUCAAUCCCAAGAAAAUAGCGAAGUGGACCAAGAUCAGUCAUGAGAAACUGGUCGCGAAGACGAGCCUUAACAAAGGCAAUGUAAUCAGAGUCGUCACCAGUGAUGAUCAUGUCAUCAACAUAGAGAAGGAGAAGAGUCCGACCACGAGGAGACGUGUGAACAAACAACGCUGGAUCAUGAUUACUGGCAAGAAACCAGCGGCAGUCACCACGGAGGCAAAACGCUCAAACCAGGCGCGAGGGGCCUGUUUGAGACCAUAUAGGGAGCGGCAAAGUCUACAGACCAUACCAUCAGGAGCAUAG